GAUGAACGCUGGCGGCGUGCCUAAUACAUGCAAGUCGAGCGAACAGACGAGGAGCUUGCUCCUCUGAUGUUAGCGGCGGACGGGUGAGUAACACGUGGAUAACCUACCUAUAAGACUGGGAUAACUUCGGGAAACCGGAGCUAAUACCGGAUAACAUGUUGAACCGCAUGGUUCAACAGUGAAAGACGGUCUUGCUGUCACUUAUAGAUGGAUCCGCGCCGCAUUAGCUAGUUGGUAAGGUAACGGCUUACCAAGGCAACGAGGCGUAGCCGACCUGAGAGGGUGAUCGGACACACUGGAACUGAGACACGGUCAAGACUCCUACGGGAGGCAGCAGUAGGGAAUCUUCCGCAAUGGGCGAAAGCCUGACGGAGCAACGCCGCGUGAGUGAAGAAGGUCUUCGGAUCGUAAAACUCUGUUAUUAGGGAAGAACAAAUGUGUAAGUAACUAUGCACGUCUUGACGGUACCUAAUCAGAAAGCCACGGCUAACUACGUG
RNAcentral lists this ribosomal RNA (497 nucleotides) under uncultured bacterium. RNAcentral describes it as "partial 16S ribosomal RNA". It matches the Rfam family "Bacterial small subunit ribosomal RNA", at positions 28 to 507 of the family's 1533-position model. The record is from RNAcentral.